This 563-nucleotide long non-coding RNA is filed under the name Zonotrichia albicollis (white-throated sparrow). Its description in RNAcentral is "lncRNA (ENSZALG00000017456.1)". Lineage: Eukaryota; Metazoa; Chordata; Aves; Passeriformes; Passerellidae. The record is from RNAcentral.
AAGCCUGUGCUCCAUUUCCUGGGCUUUUCAUUUCUCCUGAUCACUAUGGCAGCUGGGCAGUGAGGCAGCAAGGCAAUCGCUAAUAAUCUCUGCUGAGACUUCUCAGCCUGGGUUUCUCACUGACUGGAAUCUUUCAUUCUGUUUUUUUUAGAUUGCCUGCCAGGAUGUUCUGGGUGUCAGCAGAGAGAGCUCCUUCAAUUCACACAAAUAUUCUCCAUUUAGCAUCAAGUAUUUCUCUACAGGAGGAAGACAACUAGGGAAAUAACACGACAAAACAGAAUUCGCACAGUUAAAUCUUCAAACAACACGGAGAAAAGCAGAACAUUCUCGCUGUUGGAGGGGAGCAAGAGCGUGGUCUCUCCAGUGCCGAAUGCAGGGAGACAUUCACUGCCGCGACCCUGCUGCCACACCAUGGUGUCGACGGAAGGAGACCAGGACAUCAGGUUGAUCAUCACAGGUCUGAUUUUAUUGAUCAGCACAGCGGGUUAAAUACAGUUCGUAAUUAACUUCAUGCAUAUUGCAAAAGUUGAGCUCAGGAUUGGUUAGUUACAUAUCAGCAGUUA